AGCCUUCGGGCUUAGCGGCGGACGGGUGAGUAACGCGUGGGAAUGUGCCCUUCUCUACGGAAUAGUCCCGGGAAACUGGGUUUAAUACCGUAUACGCCCUUCGGGGGAAAGAUUUAUCGGAGAAGGAUCAGCCCGCGUCUGAUUAGGUAGUUGGUGGGGUAAUGGCCUACCAAGCCUACGAUCAGUAGCUGGUUUGAGAGGAUGAUCAGCCACACUGGGACUGAGACACGGCCCAGACUCCUACGGGAGGCAGCAGUAGGGAAUCUUAGACAAUGGGGGAAACCCUGAUCUAGCCAUGCCGCGUGUGUGACGAAGGCCUUAGGGUCGUAAAGCACUUUCGCCAGGGAUGAUAAUGACAGUACCUGGUAAAGAAACCCCGGCUAACUCCGUGCCAGCAGCCGCGGUAAUACGGAGGGGGUUAGCGUUGUUCGGA
Molecule: ribosomal RNA, 433 nt
Filed under: Rhodobacteraceae bacterium HLUCCA08
Lineage: Bacteria; Pseudomonadati; Pseudomonadota; Alphaproteobacteria; Rhodobacterales; Paracoccaceae
Description: bacterial SSU rRNA
Rfam family: Bacterial small subunit ribosomal RNA
Source: RNAcentral